Molecule: long non-coding RNA, 2652 nt
Organism: Ctenopharyngodon idella (grass carp)
Lineage: Eukaryota; Metazoa; Chordata; Actinopteri; Cypriniformes; Xenocyprididae
Exons: 3
Source: RefSeq, a predicted model, not a curated record
GUAUGCAUAUAAAUAAUAUGAUUAUGAAAAUAAUAUAAAAAGUACAUUUGUAAUCACCUUGUCAUAGUGCAUUCUGAGAUCGCCUUUUCCACAAAGAAUACACACAAUGCUUUGUCUAGAAAAGUCAUCUAGUUUUGGAAAAGCCUCCAAGUCAUGUGCAUAAUUUAAAUCAUAUGAUUUGUGAUUGAACUGUACCUCUCUUCUUGUUCAUUUUUCCUCUUACCCAUCUUUUGUUAUUUGAAUUAAUAGUGGGGUGACUGGCGUUGUCAUUUAUUUAUCAUUCCUCUGAGAGGAUCCAAGGACAGCGUAAGUUUGGCCAAGUCCCGUGAUAUUCAAGACUGCCAAGUUCUCUGCUGCCCUCCACACCGUGCAACCUCGGUGACGUGGAAUGUUUGCAUUCAUUAUCUUAUCUACCUUGACUAAAUCAAUCUGCUGAUAAGUGUUGAGGCAUUGAGGAAACGCUGCAUACAUCACAGGGAAAAAAAAGUCAUAAAAAACGCUGUUGGUUAUUGUCUACAAAAGAAAGUGGAGCGCAUGAAACGAUUCCAAGAUGCUGCUCUAAUUCCUUUUAUCUGCAGAUCAUUAUUCACUAAUGCUUUACUGCUUUCUGGGUGAAUACCUCAGAGAAUGUCUGAUUAAGAAAUCAUUUCACUUGGAAGUCUGGAGCUAAUGGACACCUGUGAAGGUACUAACAGGAAAUGUGGACUGUUUGAAAGUUUGAAAGAGGGAUUGGGUGUCACAAUAAAUGUGUUCGUUUUUUCUUUACGACACCUCCAAAUCACACCUGUCAGAUUCUCUCAGUUCAAAAAGGAUCAAAUUGAGAUUUAAGAAAGCUUUUGUUGGCUUUUUGUUCAUUUAGUAAUCCGCCCUGGCAGAGGUAGGUCAAAGGUCAGUUGGUUUGGUCUUUUGGCACAAGAAAAAAAGCAUCUGUCAGCAACCCAAGCUCAAAACACUUUCAUUACUCAAGGACAACUGCCACAAGUGGAAGGUUAGUUCCACACGAAUGGCCUGGAAUUCCAGGGGUGUCGCUCCAUGUCUGAGAGUCAGCUGCUCUGCCAGGGUGACCUCCAAGCACCAUUUACAUCAGAGCGCCGCCCGCUGCCUGGGUCACAUGUGUCUGUCCCAUUUCAGUAGUGUCUUGAAUCAGGAACAACCCUCUCCCUUCCUGAAGUUUCUCUCCGGGGAAAAGCACUGAGAGAGACUCUCGUUUAGGUCAAUGGAGAAGCAGCCCACAGAUCAAUGGCUGUGCUCGGUCACAUGGGGAGGGGGAUACCGGUGGAGAUGAUAAGCUUCCAUCUAAUUACACUGCAAGGCCGUUUCAAGGCCGCUUAGACCCUUACUCACCGCACCUCUGAAGGAAUCAGCAUUCAUUCUCAUGCGCAAAGCAGGUGCUCUAUCAGAACGCUGCUGUGAGCUGGGUAAAUACAGGAGAAUCAAAACUAAGAGCACAGAACUUGACAACUGUACUUUUCCAACCAACCAUGUGACUAACCAGAACCAGUUGCCAACUUCCCAGGAUAUUUGGACAGUUGGAGCAGAGGAAUUCAAAACAAGAGCGUAGCGUACUCUUACCAAAGCACUGAGGCCACGCCUUUUGGCCACUCCCCCUUCACUCCCGCUUGUUAUCAUAACGGCAUGUAAAGGUGCAACAAACUCGCGCUGGUGACGUGGUGUGCGGGUAAAGCCCGUCUGAAGCAGCUGUGCUUGUGUUGGGUUGAUACGAGGGCCUUAUGGUGGUCCCAUCUUGGUGCAAGGAUGAAGUUCAACUCACCCCGAGCGUCCCAGAGAUUUUAGUUGUUUACUCUCUUGCCGUAUGGGGCGAGUGUGAUUGUGAACCGUUUCCCUGUGAACCCAGAAGAACAGAAAACAAAGAACAUGGAAAAGUUGUGCACACAUGCACACAGCAGGUGUAACCAACAGAUGCAGCUACAUUAGAUUAGCUCAUAAAGCAACGCGCCGCCGGUAAUGUGAGGAGUUCAGCACGUUCAUCUCUCUCGAUCGCAUGCAUGUGGAGGGUGGAAAACACUCAGUGCAUUUAACACAACAAGAAUAGAGCGGCCCAAACAGCUGGGUGUUUGGUGAGCGAGCGCAUCUCACGCUUCAGGUUCUGUUUAAAGUUUAAACACAUCCAAGUGCAUGUAGUUUGGCUCCAGUCUGGCUGUUAGUGCGUAGAGAGCAGAACAGGGGGGUGGUGUCGGUAGGGAUGUGCAUGCUUGCUUAUUGUCAUGUCAUGUGAUCUGCUCUGGAAAUAGCCGCCUGUCACAAAGGAGGAAUGGAUCUGUGUGCCCUCUCCGGUAUGAUGGAAAUACAACUCUCAAAGGUGAACCUCAACCCCCUCUGUUCCCGAAAUAACCAAUGUAAUAUCAAUGUCCCACAAACAGUGCAUCAGAGAAAGGGAAAGGAGCGAGUGAGUGACAUGCCAGAAAAGAGCAGGAGAGCUGAUUCUGUGAGAGCGAGAGCGAUACGCUUCAGGUUUUGUUUCUGGGGAUGGCAGCAGAUUCAGGCCUUGAAUCAUGCAGUAUUGAUGAAGAAGAUCAUGGAACGCGGUACAUCUCUACUGGAUGUAUGUUUGCCAUACAGACCUGCAAACAUGUGUGCAGCUGUGAAUGUUUAAAGUGAUGAGAGCAAAGCGCAAGAGACUAGUACAUCAAA